AAAAGUAGCUGAAACCUACAAAGCUUCACAAGCCUGCACUUGAGUUUGUGAUUUUUAUGCUAAUAAGAUCUGUGGAAUUUCUUUUUUGAAAUUCACAUUACUUGAUUGGCGUAGUGCACCUUUUUCCAUAUGUGAAGUUUGCUUUUUUAUAUGACUUAACUAUCAUCACAGUACCCACAAGGAGCAUUGCAACGAGCUGGGAGUUCUUGCGGCUGGCUCCUGCGGCUGUCACUGCAAGUCAUGCUCUUCAUUGCGUGAAGCAGCCGAGCACAAGUGUGCACAACAGGAAUUAAGGUGCGGAGAUGAAGAGCUCACUUUUCGUAAUCCGCGGAGUUCACUUCUCCUAAUUCGUGAAGAAAUGUAGCUACACUGGGGGUUCACUCGUGUAUCCUCGACAGUCUAGCGGGCUUCUCGAAGGAGUCCAGCACGCGACCGCACCUCGAAGUCCACCUGCAGCUCCGUGGAUACUCAGGCGGACCGCUGCCAGAUAACUUCACUCACGUCAUGGAAGCAAUAAUGUCUUAGGAGUCCACGGCUUUGGCGAGUCUCUCAUGCCCAGGGAGUUCAAUUCGUCCGAAGACGAAGUUCAGUAUAAGAGAAAUAGCUGCUGGUGCCGAGUGAGGGAGUUAGCUUCUACUUUUUUGUGGAGUUCACUUUGUAUAACAGUAGAAGUAUAGUCUGUAAAGUUCUUUUUCUUGUUUAUUCAUUUCCGUGUAAAUGGUAGUAGUUUCUCGCCAGUAUUCACAGAAAAAAAGAGAAAUAUCCGCUGGUGCCAAGUGAGGGAUUUUGCUUCUA
This is a long non-coding RNA of Lolium rigidum, 795 nucleotides long. RefSeq lists it as uncharacterized. The transcript has 3 exons. The record is from RefSeq and is a predicted model, not a curated record. NCBI's taxonomy places the organism in Eukaryota, Viridiplantae, Streptophyta, Magnoliopsida, Poales, Poaceae.